Molecule: ribosomal RNA, 253 nt
Filed under: uncultured bacterium
Lineage: Bacteria
Description: partial 16S ribosomal RNA
Rfam family: Bacterial small subunit ribosomal RNA
Source: RNAcentral
UACGUAGGCAGCAAGCGUUGUUCGGAGCUACUGGGCGUAAAGGGUGCGUAGGCUGCUUCUUAAGACUGGUGUGAAAUCUCCCGGCUCAACUGGGAGGGUGCGCCGGAUACUGAGGGGCUAGAGUGUGGGAGAGGAAAGUGGAAUUCCUGGUGUAGCGGUGAAAUGCGUAGAUAUCAGGAGGAACACCGGUGGUGUAAACGGCUUUCUGGACCAUAACUGACGCUGAGGCACGAAAGCGUGGGUAGCAAACAGG